UUACGGUCAAAUCACGCUGAAAACACCGGUUCUCGUUCGAUCACCGAAGUUAAGCAUCGUAGAAGGUCAGUACUUAGAUGGGGACCGCUUGGGAACACCUGGUACU
RNAcentral lists this ribosomal RNA (106 nucleotides) under Acanthosepion pharaonis. The record is from RNAcentral. Lineage: Eukaryota; Metazoa; Mollusca; Cephalopoda; Sepiida; Sepiidae.